This 210-nucleotide unclassified non-coding RNA is filed under the name Hevea brasiliensis (rubber tree). The record is from RNAcentral. Lineage: Eukaryota; Viridiplantae; Streptophyta; Magnoliopsida; Malpighiales; Euphorbiaceae.
UCCAACACCUCUCAUAUCAAAGGUCAAAACUUUAUACCCUUUUCUUGAUAACCCACUUGCUAUUCCUCUCAAUAGACUCUGACAACCACCUAAUAUUGAAUAUGGAUGAACUAAAACCACAACCCAUGAGCUAUUUUUGCUUAUUUCUUCCCCUAAUCCUUCUUCUUCUUCAUUUUCAUAUGGGUUUGGUUUGAAAAUUGUGGUAUGGAG